UACGUAGGGGGCAAGCGUUGUCCGGAUUUAUUGGGCGUAAAGAGCGUGUAGGCGGCCACACAGGUCUGCUGUGAAAACUCGAGGCUCAACCUCGAGCUGUCGGUGGAAACCGUGUGGCUAGAGUCCGGAAGAGGAGAGUGGAAUUCCCGGUGUAGCGGUGAAAUGCGCAAAUAUCGGGAAGAACACCCGUGGCGAAGGCGGCUCUCUGGGACGGUACUGACGCUGAGACGCGAAAGCGUGGGGAGCGAACAGG
RNAcentral lists this ribosomal RNA (253 nucleotides) under uncultured bacterium. Its description in RNAcentral is "partial 16S ribosomal RNA". It matches the Rfam family "Bacterial small subunit ribosomal RNA", at positions 524 to 776 of the family's 1533-position model. The record is from RNAcentral.